This 339-nucleotide unclassified non-coding RNA is filed under the name soil metagenome. RNAcentral's name for it is "partial contains 5.8S ribosomal RNA, internal transcribed spacer 2, and large subunit ribosomal RNA". The stretch from base 1 to 120 matches the Rfam family "5.8S ribosomal RNA", at positions 35 to 154 of the family's 154-position model. The record is from RNAcentral.
GAUGAAGAACGUAGCGAAAUGCGAUAAGUAAUGUGAAUUGCAGAAUUCCGUGAGUCAUCGAAUCUUUGAACGCACAUUGCGCCCUUUGGCAUUCCGAAGGGCAUGCCUGUUCGAGCGUCAUUUAUCAACCCUCAAGCCCGGCUUGCGGUUGGGUCCCGCCGUGGGCGACCACGGCGGACCCGAAAGGUAAUGGCGGUGCCCGUGGGGCCCUGGACGCAGCGAGCUUCUCGGCACGCGUCCCGGCGGUCCCCGGCGCCGUCUCCACCAAUCCACCACGCAGAUUGACCUCGGAUCAGGUAGGGAUACCCGCUGAACUUAAGCAUAUCAAUAAGCGGAGGA